GUGCUGCCAGCAUGUGGAGCUGAGAGCAGUGAAAGUCCAAAGGACUGGGGCACCAGAGGAGGUCACCAGGAGCUGUCAUGACUGCAGGACAUAUAUAAGCCCUGCAGGAAAGAGAAAGGGAGAAUGAUUCAUUGGUUGAUGCAAGCCUCUGUAGGUACUCAAAGAGAAGAUAAUUUCUACAUUGGUAGGAAUUCUCUGGCUUCACGGGUUCUAGUGGCCUGGGCAAGGCAGUCCCAUAGUGGCAGGCACUGGGCCUCCUGCCCUACAGCCAUAUGGUUCCACUUUCCUGCUCUCUCACAUGACAGUCUGAGUUCCCCCAGCAGAAAGAAGAGAACACUCCUUCCUGUUACAUAUGUGAUGAAAAUGGCAAGACAGCUGUGGAUCUGCAGUAAACUCCAAGCUAUGUGGCAGCUACACAGAUGGUGGUCCUCCUGCAGCCUUUGCGGUGUCUCACAGCUCCAAGAGAGCACAGACCAGCAUUUGGAAGAUGACACUUUCCCACUGCACCGAAUGCUUUACUGUUCUGCAUGAAUGAUGUACACAGUGUUGGGGUAAAUAUAUUAUUUUUCACCAGAAAUACCCCUCCAGUGCUGUGACCCUGCUUUGUUUGGAAAGAGGUAGAAGAGAGGGAAAUACAGAAUCUGCCGUCUCCCUGCUAGGCUUUCCUUUCUUCAAAGAACCAUCAGAGCAGCCCAUUACUUUCACAUAUUGCCAGUACGUUGUUGCAGGCUGGGUCUUAGGGCCCUGUCUGACCCCCAGCUUCCGCUGGCAACAAGGCCAGAUAAACAUCCUGGGGGAGAGCCACCAUCCGGGGUUUCCUGGCAGUCUCCAGCCAGGGGUAACCUUUAGGGGCAUGGGCAGGGGUUUUAGGUGACCAGCUCUUUCAGCAGCAUUUUCUGCUCUGUGAUCAGCUCUGUUCAGCCUAGCCAGCUCCUUUCGUGGUCCCCCUGCCGACGCAGACAAGAGACGGAAAGACCAUAUAACAUUCUGCAGAGUCUUUAAUGCAGGCUUCUGUGAAGGGGGCCAGUGAUGGUCUAACCCUGAACUGGGUAAAAGCUGGGGUUUUUAUAGGGAAGGGGAGGGUUGGGAAGGGAACCAAUGGUCUGAGAGGGGAUAAGUUGACCAAUAGUUAACAGGGAGAUAACAUGGGCUCCUGAAGCAGGAAGGGGUCCACAGCUUAGUCAUGAUGACUAGGCAGUUUUAUCUUAUCUUAGGGGACAGAUCUCCAGGGAGGAUGCCUGUCGGAGGACUGGGCCUCUCCACAACUCCUCUCUCUGUAUUUAGUAAAAAGCCAUUCACUAUAGCUCUUUUGAAGCAAUGAAGAAGGCAUGAGAACGUAGCUAAUACAACAAUAAUCAAUAAAAGUCCACAAAAUUCCCUUAACUAAAGAUGA
Molecule: long non-coding RNA, 1393 nt
Filed under: Cyanistes caeruleus (blue tit)
Lineage: Eukaryota; Metazoa; Chordata; Aves; Passeriformes; Paridae
Description: lncRNA (ENSCCEG00000019679.1)
Source: RNAcentral